RNAcentral lists this ribosomal RNA (492 nucleotides) under Volvarina armonica. Its description in RNAcentral is "partial 16S ribosomal RNA". It matches the Rfam family "Bacterial large subunit ribosomal RNA", at positions 1845 to 2598 of the family's 2925-position model. Lineage: Eukaryota; Metazoa; Mollusca; Gastropoda; Neogastropoda; Marginellidae. The record is from RNAcentral.
GUAAUGAAUCGUACCUGCUCUAUGAGUUUUAAAUGGCCGCAGUAUCUUGACUGUGCGAAGGUAGCAUAAUAAUUUGCCUUAUAAUUGAAGGCUUGGAUGAAUGGUUUGACGAGAAUAAAACUGUCUCUUAUUAAAUUCAUAGAAUUUUAUUUUUAAGUGAAGAAGCUUAGUUUUAAUUAAUAGACAAGAAGACCCUAUCGAUUUUUAAUUUUAUUUAAAGAUAUAAAUAAAUAUAGGUUAUAUUUAGGUUUUAUGGAGAAAUUUUUGUUGGGGCGACUGAGGAGUAUAUGAAGCCUCCUUAAUAGAUAAGUGAAAUGACUGUUAUUGAUCCAUAUAUAUAUGAUUAGUGGACUAAAUUACCGUAGGGAUAACAGCAUAAUUUUUUUUUAGAGUUCUUAUUGAAAAGAAAGUUUGUGACCUCGAUGUUGGAUCAAAACAUCCUAAAGGUGCAGUCGUUUUUAAGGGUUAGUCUGUUCGACUAUUAAAGUUUUA